GAGUGCCUUCAAGUGUGGCUUUCCUUUUCGUUAUCUGAUGAGCAUUAACUUUCGCCCCUAUCUGAAAUUGAAACUUCUCAUGUUGAAUGCGAGAUUGGUCUUACUGAAAAUAACGCAAAAUAGGAAAGCUCAUUUGAGUUGCUUGAUUAUCUGCUAACCUCUUAUUAACUAAAUUGUUGUUUCCAUUUCUUGUAGCUUGGAAUUCUGCUCAAAGGACAAAGUGGAGUGACAGUGAGCAUAAGAUCAGCGGGACAAAAUCAAUAAACGUGCUUCGAAUAAACAUAGGAAUUAAGACUGGUUACAUGUGAUGCCAUAUAUAUGGGACUGCUUUUUCAAUAAAAGAGAUGGGUUCAUCAAGAGAUUUAUUGAAAAAAAUUGAAUACCACAGGAAUCUAUAAAGGUAAAUAUACUUAAAACGAACUAUUUUUUUUUUACGAGAAUCUUUCGUUCUGUUACAAAACCUUUAAAUCUUACCUGAUGUAAAAAAAAAACUGAAAUAUGUGGCAUGAUUUUCACAUUAACCGCAACAAAUCCUACUCCAAUAGGUCCUACUGACAAUUCUCACAAAACUAAUGCACUUGCCCAAUAUAAUAACAACCUUGCCUAACAAUUGACUCUCGUUUGCCUUUUCAGUUCGCAUGGCAUGUUGUUGAGACAACAAGUUGUGCUUUUGGCGACUUUCCACCGACCUUGCUACAAUUUAAUUCCCUUGCAUGCACUUUUUCAGGUACAGCACUGCCCAAAACAUCAUAUUGUUAGAAUCCUUCGAAAAUCAAAUAAAAGAAACAAAAGCA
This is a long non-coding RNA of Drosophila teissieri, 794 nucleotides long. RefSeq lists it as uncharacterized. NCBI's taxonomy places the organism in Eukaryota, Metazoa, Arthropoda, Insecta, Diptera, Drosophilidae. The record is from RefSeq and is a predicted model, not a curated record. The transcript is spliced from 5 exons.